This 735-nucleotide ribosomal RNA is filed under the name uncultured Fusobacterium sp. Its description in RNAcentral is "bacterial SSU rRNA". It matches the Rfam family "Bacterial small subunit ribosomal RNA", at positions 28 to 776 of the family's 1533-position model. The record is from RNAcentral. Lineage: Bacteria; Fusobacteriati; Fusobacteriota; Fusobacteriia; Fusobacteriales; Fusobacteriaceae.
GAUGAACGCUGACAGAAUGCUUAACACAUGCAAGUCAACUUGAAUUUGGGUUUUUAACUUAGAUUUGGGUGGCGGACGGGUGAGUAACGCGUAAAGAACUUGCCUCACAGCUAGGGACAACAUUUAGAAAUGAAUGCUAAUACCUGAUAUUAUGAUUUUAAGGCAUCUUAGAAUUAUGAAAGCUAUAUGCACUGUGAGAGAGCUUUGCGUCCCAUUAGCUAGUUGGAGAGGUAACAGCUCACCAAGGCGAUGAUGGGUAGCCGGCCUGAGAGGGUGAACGGCCACAAGGGGACUGAGACACGGCCCUUACUCCUACGGGAGGCAGCAGUGGGGAAUAUUGGACAAUGGACCGAGAGUCUGAUCCAGCAAUUCUGUGUGCACGAUGAAGUUUUUCGGAAUGUAAAGUGCUUUCAGUUGGGAAGAAAAAAAUGACGGUACCAACAGAAGAAGUGACGGCUAAAUACGUGCCAGCAGCCGCGGUAAUACGUAUGUCACGAGCGUUAUCCGGAUUUAUUGGGCGUAAAGCGCGUCUAGGUGGUUAUGUAAGUCUGAUGUGAAAAUGCAGGGCUCAACUCUGUAUUGCGUUGGAAACUGUAUAACUAGAGUACUGGAGAGGUAAGCGGAACUACAAGUGUAGAGGUGAAAUUCGUAGAUAUUUGUAGGAAUGCCGAUGGGGAAGCCAGCUUACUGGACAGAUACUGACGCUAAAGCGCGAAAGCGUGGGUAGCAAACAGG